GGCAUAGUAAAAUUGAUUCUGGGUCAAAGACUCAAUGAUUCAUGGAUUGUUUUGCAGAUUCCUUAAUUUAUUAGACUAAACAUAUUACCCGUGUCUUUUUAUUUCAUUGCAGAUUGACCAGCCGGGUGCACAGGAGCUCCAGGACAAUGAGAUUGACCAGCCGGGUGCACAGGAGCUCCAGGACAACGAGGUUGACCAACUGGACACCCAGGAACUCCAGCACAAUUAGGUUUUAAAACUCUCUGUGAAGGAGAGUCUAGGAUCCAAAUGCAGAUGCUUUAAUUCAAGCCUACAUUGUGUAGUAGAGUUUGCAAGUGUCUUUCC
Thalassophryne amazonica is the source of this 324-nucleotide long non-coding RNA. RefSeq lists it as uncharacterized. NCBI's taxonomy places the organism in Eukaryota, Metazoa, Chordata, Actinopteri, Batrachoidiformes, Batrachoididae. The record is from RefSeq and is a predicted model, not a curated record. The transcript is spliced from 3 exons.